UACCAGCACAGCCAAUGUGUUUCCAAAGAACUUCCUCCAAUUUUAGCUUUCAUGAAGUAUUUUCAUCUGCCUUUGAACUGCACUGUCUAAUGAAUUACUGGAGAGACACAAAAGGGUUCGACCCCAGCCAUCUGUCAACCACUGAGGGAAUAUGGAAUCCACAAAGCAGACCACCCGUGUGAAGUAAAUCAUCACUUCAGCCUUUCCAUGGAUCCUGGUGGAUUAGCUGCACCCUGCUCUUAACAUAAAUAACAUCCAACCACUUCCGCGAGCUGACUGCAGAGCUGACCUUCAUAUAUUGACACAGA
Molecule: long non-coding RNA, 308 nt
Organism: Epinephelus lanceolatus (giant grouper)
Lineage: Eukaryota; Metazoa; Chordata; Actinopteri; Perciformes; Serranidae
Source: RefSeq, a predicted model, not a curated record